Molecule: ribosomal RNA, 252 nt
Filed under: uncultured bacterium
Lineage: Bacteria
Description: partial 16S ribosomal RNA
Rfam family: Bacterial small subunit ribosomal RNA
Source: RNAcentral
UACGGAGGAUGCGAGCGUUAUCCGGAUUUAUUGGGUUUAAAGGGUGCGCAGGCGGAUUUUUAAGUCAGCGGUCAAAUCGUGGGGCUCAGCCCCAUCCAGCCGUCGAAACUGGGGAUCUAGAGUGUGCGAGAGGUAUGCGGAAUGCGUGGUGUAGCGGUGAAAUGCAUAGAUAUCACGCAGAACCCCGAUUGCGAAGGCAGCAUACCGGUGCACAACUGACGCUCAGGCACGAAAGCGUGGGUAUCGAACAGG